UCUGGACUCAGGAAGAAACAGAAACCUUGUGCUGAAGGAAUGAAGAAGGCAGGACGCCAGGCAUUCUCCUCUGGUGGCUCAUGCCUGUAACCCCAGCACUUGGGAGGCUGAAGCUAGAAGACUGAGCACGGGUCUGGUGACACAGAAAUAGGAAACAUGACCAAAGAUAAAUGAAUGACGAGGUCCUUAGGGCCCCAAGACCACAGCGGAGAAAGGCUAACCCUUCAGGAUGGAAAUCAAGGACUUCUAAGCCUCUGGCUCAUACAGGAUCAUUGGUAGAGCACAAGGAUGCGGCCUCUAGGGAAGAUCCCCGAGAGAUCGCUUAGUGCAGGCUGGGCAUUGGUGGUAAAGCCUCAGGAGCUGCCAGUGGGUUUGCUGACUCAUCUGCCCACUCAGCACUCACACAACGGGAAUCCUCAGAGAGGCACCUCUGGGGUUGCUCUAGAAGGGGAGAAAAUGAACAGGCAGAGCAGAGCUGUGACAGCUGAAAGGAGCUUCACUCGUCGGAAAGGAGCUUUACUCGUCGGAAAGGAGCUUCACUCGUCGGGCUUUUGCAGGGGCAGGUCCAGCAGAAGGGGCUGCGAGCGGAAAACUUGCACUGCCGAGAGAAGCAAAGACUUUUCUGUGUCCUUAUUUCUUGUCUCUCUGCAUCUCUGGGCUUUGGAAUUCUUGGUGGCAAGGUCUGAAGUCUACUUUGUUUACAACUGCAUUCUCCAGCUUCUAAAAAACCCACGAAACAAAACAAA
Mesocricetus auratus (golden hamster) is the source of this 746-nucleotide long non-coding RNA. RefSeq lists it as uncharacterized. NCBI's taxonomy places the organism in Eukaryota, Metazoa, Chordata, Mammalia, Rodentia, Cricetidae. The record is from RefSeq and is a predicted model, not a curated record. The transcript is spliced from 4 exons.